RNAcentral lists this small nuclear RNA (107 nucleotides) under Rhinopithecus bieti (black snub-nosed monkey). The record is from RNAcentral. Lineage: Eukaryota; Metazoa; Chordata; Mammalia; Primates; Cercopithecidae.
GUGCUCGCUUCGGCAGCACAUAUAAUAAGGUUGGAGUGAUACAGAGAAGAUUAGCAUGGCCCCUGCGCCAGGAUGACACGCAAAUUCAUGAAGCGUUCCAUUUUUUU